CCUAUUUUCUAGAUUACAACUAGAACUAACUAGAACUAGAACUAGAGGAACUAGAACUAGAACUAGAUGAACUAAACUAGAUCUAGAUGAACUAGAGGUAGAACUAGAAGAACUAGAGGGAUCCUCUCUACUUUGAUGAAGAAUUGAAACCCUAGCUUUGAUUCUGUAGAAGAGGUAUGAUCUCCAGGGGCCAGGGGGCCUUGCUUAUAUAGUCUUUUCAGAUGAAUCUAGGCCGUCGGAUCAAACCGACAUUGAUCGUGUGGUUUUCCUUGAAGUAUUAGGUCGGUGGAGCAUUAUCCUGAAAGAGAGUCCUGAUUGGACUCUGGCUGAGGGCGGGCGCCCAGGAAAGGAGGGCGGGCGCCCUGUCCCUGUGUCCUCUCGGCCUCUGCUUCGGUCUCGUGGCUUCUGGAGUCUUCUAGAUGAUAGAAAAUUGCGCGGCACGUUAAUAUCUCUAUGUACACCCGAUGUGUGGGCCUUUCUUCCUUAUUUCCUGAUAACUCCCUGCAGAAAUAGACAAACACCAAAACUUGUGGAAUUCUGUCAGGUAAAACCCUAAGUCUAGGUGUUGGUUGCAUUUGGAUCCUUUUCUAUGAUUAGUUGAUGGUUAAAUGUGAGCAUUAAGGACCGUCAACAAGCUCUCCCAAGCUUAACAUUUGCUCGUCCCUGAGCAAAGAUGAACUCUAGAGUUUCUGCAGUGGUUUCAUGCCUUAAAGGUACACAUGAGUUCAAACAAUAUCUCAUCUCUGAGUUAGGGUAAACUGUUAAGAAUUAAACUUACACAUUUUACCUUCACCAUGGGGCUUGCAACCGUCACUUCUGUCUUGAGUAGUUAAAAGAUAGAACAGUCUAGUCAAGUGCCAUGUCUCUUAUUCUUGAUCAGCUAUAGCUCAGGGGUUUUUGCAGAUUUUCAAAUAAAACUCAGAGAUUCCUUGUAUGACUCUCUCUAGUCUCUCAUUUGUGGUAUUUCUGGAUCCUUACCAAGGCAGUAAUUGUAUAUGCCUUCUCUCAAAGUAUGUGGUAUUUGUGGUAUAAGGCAUAGUGACACUGCCUUCUCUCUCACCCUACUCUAAUAAGGCUUUUGAUAUCUGGAGCUCAUAGGUGGGAGACAGCUAAUACAUACUUACAAGACAUUUAUUGCAUAGUCAAACCAUGGAUCCAGAAGAACAAGUCAAUAAGUCAAAUCAAGAUGUGCAUGUGUGGCGAAUGAAUGGUGUAUGGUGAUGAUGGUGAUAACAAUGGUGAAAGUUUAAUUCUACUUAUGCUCUUUUGAGGGGAUACAUACCUUUCUUGCACUUUUGACACUUUUUGAGGAGAAUGAGAUGCUCUAUGUUUUCUUUUUCUUUUCUCUCAGGUGGGUAUCUUGUACCCCUAAUUCUACUAUCGGACACUUGUCCAUUUUUACCUCUCGUCUCACUUUUUCUUUUCUUCGAGGUUCCGGGCACUUGCCCCUUUUUAUUUCCUCGUAUCUCUUUUUUUUUCUUUUUUUUUCUUCUUUUUUUAGAGAGCACUCAUCUCAUGAAAUAAUAUAGCAAGUGGUAGUAACAAGAUAACUUGAGCAUUUAUUUCACUGUACCGGCGUAGAAUUCGGAGCGCCCCGUCUGUGAGAAGGAAAAGGACCGUUAGGCGGCACAUUUACGGGUGGGAGUUACCUCAUUUAUCGGAUCUGUCCAUUGGUGGGUUGCUGUCUAUAAAUAUCCCGUGGCAUUGCCGGCGUUCUUCCUUCUGCCUUCCGCCUUCUUGCCUUUGCUCCCUCGCCUCAGCUCCCUCGUCAUCUCACGCGCACGUACCCUCGAGUGGCAGCGAAACCACCUUCUGUUCGCCCAAGAUGCCUGUGAGACUCAUCGCCGCCGAUGACUGGCGCCCGUCGUCGAUGACCGAGCGCCGGUUCCUGGAGCUCGAGAAGGAAGGGCUCCUAUGCCAUCGCACAUCGCUUUCGUUGUCAGAGUGGAUCGCGCCGCCAGCGGACCACAGGGAGCCCAGGCCGCCCAAGGGCU
RNAcentral lists this long non-coding RNA (1994 nucleotides) under Sorghum bicolor (sorghum). RNAcentral describes it as "long non-coding RNA (SBIC_LNC008517)". The record is from RNAcentral. Lineage: Eukaryota; Viridiplantae; Streptophyta; Magnoliopsida; Poales; Poaceae.